This 253-nucleotide ribosomal RNA is filed under the name uncultured bacterium. RNAcentral describes it as "partial 16S ribosomal RNA". It matches the Rfam family "Bacterial small subunit ribosomal RNA", at positions 524 to 776 of the family's 1533-position model. The record is from RNAcentral.
UACGGGGGGGGCAAGCGUUGUUCGGAAUUACUGGGCGUAAAGGGCUCGUAGGUGGCCAACUAAGUCAGACGUGAAAUCCCUCAGCUUAACUGGGGAACUGCGUCUGAUACUGGAUGGCUUGAGUUUGGGAGAGGGAUGCGGAAUUCCAGGUGUAGCGGUGAAAUGCGUAGAUAUCUGGAGGAACACCGGUGGCGAAGGCGGCAUCCUGGACCAACACUGACACUGAUGUGCGAAAGCCAGGGGAGCAAACGGG